Molecule: ribosomal RNA, 253 nt
Filed under: uncultured bacterium
Lineage: Bacteria
Description: partial 16S ribosomal RNA
Rfam family: Bacterial small subunit ribosomal RNA
Source: RNAcentral
UACGGAGGGGGCUAGCGUUGUUCGGAAUUACUGGGCGUAAAGCGCACGUAGGCGGCUUUGGAAGUUAGAGGUGAAAGCCCAGGGCUCAACCCUGGAAUUGCCUUUAAGACUGCAUCGCUUGAACAUCGGAGAGGUAAGUGGAAUUCCGAGUGUAGAGGUGAAAUUCGUAGAUAUUCGCAAGAACACCAGUGGCGAAGGCGACUUACUGGACACAUAUUGACGCUGAGGUGCGAAAGCGUGGGGAGCAAACAGG